Molecule: ribosomal RNA, 253 nt
Filed under: uncultured bacterium
Lineage: Bacteria
Description: partial 16S ribosomal RNA
Rfam family: Bacterial small subunit ribosomal RNA
Source: RNAcentral
UACAGAGGGUGCAAGCGUUAUUCGGAGUUACUGGGCGUAAAGGGCGCGUAGGCGGUCAUAUAAGUGAGAUGUGAAAUCCCUGGGCUUAACCUAGGAACUGCAUCUUAUACUGUGUGACUGGAGUACUGUAGAGGGUAGUGGAAUUUCCGGUGUAGCGGUGAAAUGCGUAGAGAUCGGAAGGAACACCAGUGGCGAAGGCGGCUACCUGGACAGAUACUGACGCUGAGGCGCGAGAGCGUGGGGAGCAAACGGG